UGGGGAAUAUUGCACAAUUGGGGAAACCCUGAUGCAGCGACGCCGCGUGAGCGAAGAAGGUUUUCGAUUCGUAAAGCUCUGUCCUAUGAGAAGAUAAUGACGGUAUCAUAGGAGGAAGCCCCGGCUCAAUACGUGCCAGCAGCCGCGGUAAUACGUAUGGGGCGAGCGUUGUCCGGUAUUAUUGGGCGUAAAGGGUACGUAGGCGGUCUAUUAAGUCAGGUGUGAAAGCGUGAGGCUUAACCUCAUUAAGCACUUGAAACUGAUAGACUUGAGUGAAGGAGAGGAAAGUGGAAUUCCUAGUGUAGCGGUGAAAUGCGUAGAUAUUAAGAGGAAUACCGGUGGCGAAGGCGACUUUCUGGACUUUUACUGACGCUCAGGUACGAAAGCGUGGGGAGCAAACAGG
Molecule: ribosomal RNA, 403 nt
Filed under: Verrucomicrobiota bacterium
Lineage: Bacteria; Pseudomonadati; Verrucomicrobiota
Description: Verrucomicrobia bacterium partial 16S ribosomal RNA
Rfam family: Bacterial small subunit ribosomal RNA
Source: RNAcentral